UACGUAGGGUCCGAGCGUUGUCCGGAAUUACUGGGCGUAAAGAGCUCGUAGGUGGUUUGUCGCGUUGUUCGUGAAAACUCACAGCUCAACUGUGGGCGUGCGGGCGAUACGGGCAGACUAGAGUACUGCAGGGGAGACUGGAACUCCUGGUGUAGCGGUGGAAUGCGCAGAUAUCAGGAGGAACACCGGUGGCGAAGGCGGGUCUCUGGGCAGUAACUGACGCUGAGGAGCGAAAGCGUGGGGAGCGAACAGG
This 253-nucleotide ribosomal RNA is filed under the name uncultured bacterium. Its description in RNAcentral is "partial 16S ribosomal RNA". It matches the Rfam family "Bacterial small subunit ribosomal RNA", at positions 524 to 776 of the family's 1533-position model. The record is from RNAcentral.